RNAcentral lists this ribosomal RNA (450 nucleotides) under uncultured bacterium. RNAcentral's name for it is "bacterial SSU rRNA". It matches the Rfam family "Bacterial small subunit ribosomal RNA", at positions 354 to 796 of the family's 1533-position model. The record is from RNAcentral.
GUGGGGAAUAUUGGACAAUGGGGGCAACCCUGAUCCAGCGACGCCGCGUGUGUGAAGAAGGCCUGCGGGUUGUAAAGCACUUUUAGUGGGGAUGAAAAGCACAUCGCUAAUACCGGUGUGUCUUGACCUAACCCAAAGAAAAAGCACCGGCUAACUCUGUGCCAGCAGCCGCGGUAAUACAGAGGGUGCGAGCGUUAAUCGGAAUUACUGGGCGUAAAGCGUGCGUAGACGGUUAUUUAAGUCGGGUGUGAAAGCCCCGGGCUCAACCUGGGAAUUGCAUUCGAGACUGAAUAGCUAGGGUGCGGUAGAGGGAAGCGGAAUUUCCGGUGUAGCGGUGAAAUGCGUAGAUAUCGGAAGGAACAUCAGUGGCGAAAGCGGCUUCCUGGACCAGCACCGACGUUCAGGCACGAAAGCGUGGGGAGCAAACAGGAUUAGAUACCCUAGUAGUCC